Molecule: non-coding RNA, 1437 nt
Organism: Arachis ipaensis
Lineage: Eukaryota; Viridiplantae; Streptophyta; Magnoliopsida; Fabales; Fabaceae
Source: RefSeq, a predicted model, not a curated record
CCUAAAUUCCCAAAAAAUCAGAAACCUAACCCUAAAACCCUUAACCCAGCCUCUGAAACACUCACCCGCACUCCCACCCCUAUUUCAUCCCCUUCAGCGUAACACUCACCCUUAAUCCCUGAUUCAGCGCCGCAACCCUCCUCACUAUCACUCAGCCUCACAGCCCUUAUCUCUCAUGGAAAACACACACAUACACACAACACAACUCACCCACACUCAUUGACAUAGAGAGGAGAAAGCUGGUCACGUCGCCGCUGCCAUACAUCACCGUCGCACCACCACACCACCGUCGUCACCGAGUUGGAAGAGAGGAAGUGUUGCAGCUGCCAAGUCCCCGGAGGGGAAAGUUCACGUGAAGAGAGAGUGCCCGCAGGGAAAGGGAGGCCGUUCGCAUCCCGUCACACCCGUCGUCGUCCAAGGGGCGCCACUGACCCGUCGCUGCUGCCAGGGCUCGUCGCCAUCACCGUCGCAGGCAUGAAAGGGGGGAAACGAGCAGAACGCGAGGAAGAGGAGGAGUUCUCGUCACUGUUGUGUGCCCAUUCAUCGUCGCUGCUUCCAAUCCCGUCGUUGAUGCUACCGCCACUACGACCGUUGAAGCUCGCCGGAGAAGGAGCUAUUGAUAGAAGAAACUGCUGCUGCUCUUACUCUAUACUACACUGUGCUACUCUGUUCAGCCUCUGCUUAAGGUUUUGUAGUUACCAGAGCCCUUUGCCACUAGGAACCAAUAUUGGAGCUGCCCAGAACCACUUUGGUUGCUGCCCAGGAAACAAAAUGAGUCUUGGAACUGCUAACGGAGCUGCUGCGUUUGGCGAUUUUCGUGAGUUUCGACACUCUGAGAGCACAAAUAUCCCACGGAGGAAAUGAAACAAGAUCUUCCUGAGGAGUUAGGGUUGACUGAGAAGCAAAUUUCUGGAUGGUUUGGCCACAGAAGGUUAAAAGAUAAACGGUUGUUGAAAGAUGAAGCAAUUGGUAAUGGAUGACAAGAUCGUUCAACUGGUGUCAUCCAGGACUGUGGUAGUGAACGGCAAGAUUCAUGCGGAAGCAGCAAAGAUGGUGAUUAUCGUUAUGUGGAUCCGAAAGAGGCAAUAGACUUUGACCCAAACUCCUUGUGAAAUAUUCUACCUAAAGCAGUCUCAUCAUUGGAAUGGACAAUCUCAAAGGGAAAAGGAAGAGUUUAUGUGCAUUGUACUGCUGGACUUGGGAGAGCACCAGGGGUGACAAUAGCUUAUUUGAUCUGAUUUUAUGACAUGAAUGGUACAAAAUUAAUGCCAACAUGCUAGACUUUAUAUUGACUGAAAUAUGCUAAAAGAGCCAAGAAUUAUAAAUUUGAUAUGAUACAAUUUUAUGUUAGAAAAAAGUUGUAUUUAGUUGAAUUUGUAGAAAUUAUUUUAUUGUAAAAGAAUCUUAAUGACAUGUAAGAUAUUUUAAUUAUCUAUA